Molecule: long non-coding RNA, 1158 nt
Organism: Triticum dicoccoides
Lineage: Eukaryota; Viridiplantae; Streptophyta; Magnoliopsida; Poales; Poaceae
Exons: 2
Source: RefSeq, a predicted model, not a curated record
CGUACACGUACUGUUCUGGACUCUUCUCCCCCACCAGUCUACCUCCACCGCCCACCCCGCACCACGCGACGCUCCCCAUCUCCCCCGCCCGCGCCGCCUUGAUCCCUCCUUCGAGUCCUUCCCCCAGGUCCAGGAGGCGCCGCCUUCUUCCCCCAUGCUGCGCCGCCGCUGCCUGGUUCCAGAUCUAAAGCUUGGAUUUUGCGCGGCGGACCAACGCCGCAUCCAUCCCCAAGUGCCCCUGGCCAUGGUGGCCGUCGUUCAUGUCCACCUCCACUACCAUUACCUCCCCCCUCCUCCGUCCGUUGCCUCGCUGACCCGGCCUCUUCACCUUGCCAUGGCGCUCCCCACACCCCGCGCUCCUGCCUGCCCGCCUCCGCGCCCCCCUCCCCGCGUGCACCUGCCCCUCGCCGUCACCAGCACAGAUGAGCGGGAGGCAAAUGAGGAGUUUGUGGUGGCCACAUACAAGCUGGUGCCCGUCGACGACCCCCGCGCACAACUCCACUUCUCCCUUGGGCCAUUUAGUUUCAGUUCAGUUCACUAGAUUUGGGAUAUCUGAUGAAAGACAUGAUUUUUUUACACAUUGCAUCUCUCCUAUAGCAGGUUAGGAAGAUUACUUGGAUGCUUUUCAGGCUUCUCCAGCAUUGACCGGGCAUGCUCUCCAGUACGAACAAUCACUUAUUCAGAUCAUACAGUGACACUCUUGACUGCACAACAAUAAUCAGCAGCGCCGGCAGCCAAAGCAGACGAAGUGGCUGGUCCUGCGAGUGGCGGUGGUGGUCGCCUACGUGGUGUAGGUGGGCGGCGGUGGUCAUCCCCAUGGCGGCGGCGCAGGUGGGCGGUGGCGCUGAGCCCGGCGGUGGAUGCAUUGGUCGCUCCCGUGCGUCGUGGUGGGUGAGGUGCCCAGGUGGGUGGCGGUGGUCGAGCUGCGCAGGUGGUCGGUGGUGGUCGCCUCCGUGGCGGCGGUGAAGGUGGGUGGCAGAAUUGGACCCGAUGGUGGCUCGUGCGGGCGAUGGUGUUGGACGAUUUUUCUUUUUGUGGCAAAAAUUAUAACGAACUACAUCUGCGACAAGCUUUGCUUUAGUUUUUAUGUCUUGACUGGUACUCUAUCAUGUUUUUAAUUUAUUUAUUUGAAUCAGAAACCGAAUCAGUAUUUUUAUC